UACGAAGGGGGCUAGCGUUGCUCGGAAUGACUGGGCGUAAAGGGCGCGUAGGCGGCUUGCACAGUCAGGCGUGAAAUUCCUGGGCUCAACCUGGGGACUGCGCUUGAGACGUGUGGGCUUGAGUGGGGAAGAGGGUCGUGGAAUUCCCAGUGUAGAGGUGAAAUUCGUAGAUAUUGAGAAGAACACCGGUGGCGAAGGCGGCGACCUGGUCCUUGACUGACGCUGAGGCGCGAAAGCGUGGGGAGCAAACAGG
RNAcentral lists this ribosomal RNA (253 nucleotides) under uncultured bacterium. RNAcentral's name for it is "partial 16S ribosomal RNA". It matches the Rfam family "Bacterial small subunit ribosomal RNA", at positions 524 to 776 of the family's 1533-position model. The record is from RNAcentral.